UCCCUGGUAGACUGGUGGUUAAGAUGCUGCACUCCCAAUGCAGGGGGCCUGGGUUCAAUCCCUGGUCAGGGAA
Molecule: transfer RNA, 73 nt
Organism: Ovis aries (sheep)
Lineage: Eukaryota; Metazoa; Chordata; Mammalia; Artiodactyla; Bovidae
Rfam family: tRNA
About the family: Transfer RNA (tRNA) molecules are approximately 80 nucleotides in length.
Source: Rfam